AUUGAACGCUGGCGGCAGGCCUAACACAUGCAAGUCGAACGGUAACAGGAAGCAGCUUGCUGCUUUGCUGACGAGGGGCGGACGGGUGAGUAAUGUCUGGGAAACUGCCUGAUGGAGGGGGAUAACUACUGGAAACGGUAGCUAAUACCGCAUAACGUCGCAAGACCAAAGAGGGGGACCUUCGGGCCUCUUGCCAUCGGAUGUGCCCAGAUGGGAUUAGCUAGUAGGUGGGGUAACGGCUCACCUAGGCGACGAUCCCUAGCUGGUCUGAGAGGAUGACCAGCCACACUGGAACUGAGACACGGUCCAGACUCCUACGGGAGGCAGCAGUGGGGAAUAUUGCACAAUGGGCGCAAGCCUGAUGCAGCCAUGCCGCGUGUAUGAAGAAGGCCUUCGGGUUGUAAAGUACUUUCAGCGGGGAGGAAGGGAGUAAAGUUAAUACCUUUGCUCAUUGACGUUACCCGCAGAAGAAGCACCGGCUAACUCCGUG
This 490-nucleotide ribosomal RNA is filed under the name uncultured bacterium. RNAcentral's name for it is "partial 16S ribosomal RNA". It matches the Rfam family "Bacterial small subunit ribosomal RNA", at positions 30 to 507 of the family's 1533-position model. The record is from RNAcentral.